UAGUGUGAGAUAACUCGGGCUAUCUUAUUGGUGAAAACUAAUAGAAAUAAUGUAUACUUAGGAGUAGAGUUACAUGAUCAAAUGUGUAGAUGAAUGGUAACUAAAGUACCAAAAUGUGGUCAACAGAGCAUCAACAAAUGUCCUUGGUGAAGUGGAAUGGAGGGCCCAAAGCAACAGAAAAGUCCAUAAGCCCUUUAAUUGAUUAUUUUAUCUCGAUUGUUAACUCAGUUUAAAAUUUUCGAUUAAAAUACCCUCAUAUUGUGACAAGAAAUUUCUAAUCUAGUUCUGUUAAUUAUUGUUAUAUCUGUGUGAAAUAGCAUAUAGUAGAUCAUUGUUUGAAUUCAAAUUCACAAAUUCAAACCGGCUUUUGUUAACUUUGUCGGACUGAGUUGGUGUGGUCGUAUAAACUUAACAUCACAAAGAAGACAACAACGCUUUACAUCUGCAAUUCAAUUUCUCAUUUCUACACAAGCAGGGUUUGGUGAUCAUCAUGAUAUAGCAACCAAAUGGUUUGGUUAACAAAGAUGUGGAUAUCACUAAUGAGAGUUACCAAACUAAGCUUGUGUGGUCGUAUAAAACAAGAAGACCACAGCACUUUAAGAGUUAUAAAGUCUCAUUGGUAGCUGUUGUUUGGGAAGAUUCCCUACCAACAACUGAUUCUCAAGAGUUAUAAUUCACAUGCUGGAUAAUCUUUUUUGAGUAUUUGUUCUGUAUGAAACUGUUGAAUUCGUUUUGAAAGUUUUCUUAUCAUUGAUGCAUGAAAUCACGUAGCUAAUAACAAUUUCUGAUAAGAAAUAGGUGCUGAUUUACAUUU
Molecule: long non-coding RNA, 814 nt
Organism: Helianthus annuus (common sunflower)
Lineage: Eukaryota; Viridiplantae; Streptophyta; Magnoliopsida; Asterales; Asteraceae
Exons: 3
Source: RefSeq, a predicted model, not a curated record